Molecule: long non-coding RNA, 1033 nt
Organism: Ictalurus punctatus (channel catfish)
Lineage: Eukaryota; Metazoa; Chordata; Actinopteri; Siluriformes; Ictaluridae
Source: Ensembl
GGCCGACCAAGUUCUGCCCAUGCCCAAGUCUACCGACACAGCCGACCAAGCUCAGCUCAAGCCCAAGUCUACUGACAUGGCCCACCAAGCUCAGCUCAAGCCCAAGUCUACUGACCCAGCUUCCCGAGCUCCGCUCAAGCCCAAGUCUACCGACACGGCCGACCAAGAUCCGCUCAAGCCCGAGGUUAACCUGGUGAACUCAGUGCCCCCUUAUGAGGUCAUCUCCCACCCUCCCUCCCCUGUAAUGGAUCUCGUUCGGCCUGCCCACUCUGCUGAGGACGCUGCUUGGCACUCCUGUUCAGCCAAGAGCGUCGCUCAGCACUCCUGCACCACUGGGUACGGCGCUCUGUUUCCCUGCUCGGCUGAGGUCAUUGCUCUGCCUUCCUGCUCGGCCGAGGUCGUCUCUAUGCCAUCCUGCUUCGCAGAGGACGUCGCUCUGCCUCUAUGUUCCACUGAAGACGUUGUUCCUCUUCGUUGCUGCUCGCCGUGUGUCACUCCCCCUUCCUGCUCCAUGGAGGACUUUGUUCCCUCCUCCUGCUUCGCGGAGAGCUUCGUUCCUCCCUUUGGCCUCGCGGAGACCCACGCUCCUCUCCCUGGCCUCGCGGAGACCCACACUCCUCUCCCUGGCCUUGCAGGGGACCUCGCUUCGCUUUCCUGCACUGCUGAGUACAGCGCUCUGUUUCCCUGCUCUGCCGAGGACUUCGCUUGGCCUGCCUGCUCGGCUGUGGUCAUCACUCUGCCUUCCUGUUUCGUCGGGGACGUCGCUCCGCUUUCCUGUUCCGCCACGGAUGUCACUAUGCUUUCCUGCUCUGCUGUGAACGUCGCUCUGCUUUCAUGCUCCGCCGAGGAAGUCGCUCUGCUUUCCUGCUCUGCCGUGUACGUCACUCUGCUUUUUUGUUUUGCCAAGAACGCUGUGCGGUUUCCUGGCUCUGCUUGGGACAUUCUGCCCAGGGGGCCGGGGCCGCCAAUGGAGAUGGAUGUCUCAUGGCACUCCGGGAGGUAUGCCCUUGGUGGGAGUUCUGUCACAAUUUCC